RNAcentral lists this ribosomal RNA (497 nucleotides) under uncultured bacterium. Its description in RNAcentral is "partial 16S ribosomal RNA". It matches the Rfam family "Bacterial small subunit ribosomal RNA", at positions 28 to 507 of the family's 1533-position model. The record is from RNAcentral.
GACGAACGCUGGCGGCGUGCCUAAUACAUGCAAGUAGAACGCUGAAGAGAGGAGCUUGCUCUUCUUGGAUGAGUUGCGAACGGGUGAGUAACGCGUAGGUAACCUGCCUUGUAGCGGGGGAUAACUAUUGGAAACGAUAGCUAAUACCGCAUAACAAUGGAUGACACAUGUCAUUUAUUUGAAAGGGGCAAUUGUUCCACUACAAGAUGGACCUGCGUUGUAUUAGCUAGUAGGUGGGGUAAUGGCUCACCUAGGCGACGAUACAUAGCCGACCUGAGAGGGUGGACGGCCACACUGGGACUGAGACACGGCCCAGACUCCUACGGGAGGCAGCAGGAGGGAAACUUCGGCAAUGGGGGCAACCCUGACCGAGCAACGCCGCGUGAGUGAAGAAGGUUUUCGGAUCGUAAAGCUCGGUUGUAAGUCAAGAACGGGUGUGAGAGUGGAAAGUUCACACUGUGACGGUAGCUUACCAGAAAGGGACGGCUAACUACGUG